RNAcentral lists this ribosomal RNA (318 nucleotides) under uncultured eukaryote. Its description in RNAcentral is "partial 18S ribosomal RNA". It matches the Rfam family "Eukaryotic small subunit ribosomal RNA", at positions 1470 to 1796 of the family's 1831-position model. The record is from RNAcentral.
CCCUUAGAUGUCCUGGGCCGCACGCGUGCUACACUGACGCCUACAGCGAGUACUUCCCAGCCCCGAGAGGCGGCUGGUAAUCAGCAAUAGGCGUCGUGAUGGGGAUAGAUCUUUGGAAUUAUGGAUCUUGAACGAGGAAUGCCUAGUAAGCGCAGGUCAUUAGCCUGCGCUGAUUACGUCCCUGCCCUUUGUACACACCGCCCGUCGCUACUACCGAUUUCGAGUGGUCCGGUGAACCUUUCGGACUGAGAGUGGCCUCGAGUCGCUUUUAGAAAGUCAAGUAAACCACAUCACUUAGAGGAAGGAGAAGUCGUAACA